RNAcentral lists this ribosomal RNA (2665 nucleotides) under Enterobacter hormaechei. Its description in RNAcentral is "partial 23S ribosomal RNA". The record is from RNAcentral. Lineage: Bacteria; Pseudomonadati; Pseudomonadota; Gammaproteobacteria; Enterobacterales; Enterobacteriaceae.
GAUGAAGGACGUGCUAAUCUGCGAAAAGCGCCGGCGAGGUGAUAUGAACCUUUGACCCGGCGAUGUCCGAAUGGGGAAACCCAGUGCAAUCCGUUGCACUAUCGUUAACUGAAUACAUAGGUUAACGAGGCGAACCGGGGGAACUGAAACAUCUAAGUACCCCGAGGAAAAGAAAUCAACCGAGAUUCCCCCAGUAGCGGCGAGCGAACGGGGAGCAGCCCGGAGUCUGAAUCAGCUUGUGUGUUAGUGGAACGGUCUGGAAAGUCCGACGGUACAGGGUGAUAGUCCCGUACACGAAAGCACACUUGCUGUGAACUCGAAGAGUAGGGCGGGACACGUGGUAUCCUGUCUGAAUAUGGGGGGACCAUCCUCCAAGGCUAAAUACUCCUGACUGACCGAUAGUGAACCAGUACCGUGAGGGAAAGGCGAAAAGAACCCCGGCGAGGGGAGUGAAAAAGAACCUGAAACCGUGUACGUACAAGCAGUGGGAGCCUCUUUAUGGGGUGACUGCGUACCUUUUGUAUAAUGGGUCAGCGACUUAUAUUCUGUAGCAAGGUUAACCGUAUAGGGGAGCCGAAGGGAAACCGAGUCUUAACUGGGCGUUAAGUUGCAGGGUAUAGACCCGAAACCCGGUGAUCUAGCCAUGGGCAGGUUGAAGGUUGGGUAACACUAACUGGAGGACCGAACCGACUAAUGUUGAAAAAUUAGCGGAUGACCUGUGGCUGGGGGUGAAAGGCCAAUCAAACCGGGAGAUAGCUGGUUCUCCCCGAAAGCUAUUUAGGUAGCGCCUCGUGAAYUCAUCUUCGGGGGUAGAGCACUGUUUCGGCUAGGGGGCCAUCCCGGCUUACCAACCCGAUGCAAACUACGAAUACCGAAGAAUGUUAUCACGGGAGACACACGGCGGGUGCUAACGUCCGUCGUGAAGAGGGAAACAACCCAGACCGCCAGCUAAGGUCCCAAAGUCAUGGUUAAGUGGGAAACGAUGUGGGAAGGCACAGACAGCCAGGAUGUUGGCUUAGAAGCAGCCAUCAUUUAAAGAAAGCGUAAUAGCUCACUGGUCGAGUCGGCCUGCGCGGAAGAUGUAACGGGGCUAAACCAUGCACCGAAGCUGCGGCAGCGACACUAUGUGUUGUUGGGUAGGGGAGCGUUCUGUAAGCCGUUGAAGGUGUGCUGUGAGGCAUGCUGGAGGUAUCAGAAGUGCGAAUGCUGACAUAAGUAACGAUAAAGCGGGUGAAAAGCCCGCUCGCCGGAAGACCAAGGGUUCCUGUCCAACGUUAAUCGGGGCAGGGUGAGUCGACCCCUAAGGCGAGGCCGAAAGGCGUAGUCGAUGGGAAACAGGUUAAUAUUCCUGUACUUGGUGUUACUGCGAAGGGGGGACGGAGAAGGCUAUGUCAGCCGGGCGACGGUUGUCCCGGUUUAAGCAUGUAGGCGGAGGUUCCAGGUAAAUCCGGUACCUUAUUAACGCUGAGGUGUGAUGACGAGGCACUACGGUGCUGAAGUGAUAAAUGCCCUGCUUCCAGGAAAAGCCUCUAAGCAUCAGGUAACACGAAAUCGUACCCCAAACCGACACAGGUGGUCAGGUAGAGAAUACCAAGGCGCUUGAGAGAACUCGGGUGAAGGAACUAGGCAAAAUGGUGCCGUAACUUCGGGAGAAGGCACGCUGAUGUGUAGGUGAAGCCCCUGCGGGYGGAGCUGAAAUCAGUCGAAGAUACCAGCUGGCUGCAACUGUUUAUUAAAAACACAGCACUGUGCAAACACGAAAGUGGACGUAUACGGUGUGACGCCUGCCCGGUGCCGGAAGGUUAAUUGAUGGGGUUAGCGGCAACGCGAAGCUCUUGAUCGAAGCCCCGGUAAACGGCGGCCGUAACUAUAACGGUCCUAAGGUAGCGAAAUUCCUUGUCGGGUAAGUUCCGACCUGCACGAAUGGCGUAAUGAUGGCCAGGCUGUCUCCACCCGAGACUCAGUGAAAUUGAACUCGCUGUGAAGAUGCAGUGUACCCGCGGCAAGACGGAAAGACCCCGUGAACCUUUACUAUAGCUUGACACUGAACACUGGUCCUUGAUGUGUAGGAUAGGUGGGAGGCUUUGAAGCGUGGACGCCAGUCUGCGUGGAGCCAACCUUGAAAUACCACCCUUUAAUGGCUGGUGUUCUAACGURGACCCGUAAUCCGGGUUGCGGACAGUGUCUGGUGGGUAGUUUGACUGGGGCGGUCUCCUCCCAAAGAGUAACGGAGGAGCACGAAGGUUGGCUAAUCCUGGUCGGACAUCAGGAGGUUAGUGCAAUGGCAUAAGCCAGCUUGACUGCGAGCGUGACGGCGCGAGCAGGUGCGAAAGCAGGUCAUAGUGAUCCGGUGGUUCUGAAUGGAAGGGCCAUCGCUCAACGGAUAAAAGGUACUCCGGGGAUAACAGGCUGAUACCGCCCAAGAGUUCAUAUCGACGGCGGUGUUUGGCACCUCGAUGUCGGCUCAUCACAUCCUGGGGCUGAAGUAGGUCCCAAGGGUAUGGCUGUUCGCCAUUUAAAGUGGUACGCGAGCUGGGUUUAGAACGUCGUGAGACAGUUCGGUCCCUAUCUGCCGUGGGCGCUGGAGAAUUGAGGGGGGCUGCUCCUAGUACGAGAGGACCGGAGUGGACGCAUCACUGGUGUUCGGGUUGUCAUGCCAAUGGCA